RNAcentral lists this ribosomal RNA (1037 nucleotides) under uncultured Pseudomonadota bacterium. RNAcentral's name for it is "bacterial SSU rRNA". It matches the Rfam family "Bacterial small subunit ribosomal RNA", at positions 9 to 1041 of the family's 1533-position model. Lineage: Bacteria; Pseudomonadati; Pseudomonadota. The record is from RNAcentral.
GAGUUUGAUUAUGGCUCAGAUUGAACGCUGGCGGCAUGCCUUACACAUGCAAGUCGAACGGCAGCACGGGAGCAAUCCUGGUGGCGAGUGGCGAACGGGUGAGUAAUAUAUCGGAACGUGCCCAGUAGUGGGGGAUAGCCCGGCGAAAGCCGGAUUAAUACCGCAUACGACCUACGGGUGAAAGCGGGGGAUCGCAAGACCUCGCGCUAUUGGAGCGGCCGAUAUCAGAUUAGCUUGUUGGCGGGGUAAAAGCCCACCAAGGCGACGAUCUGUAGCUGGUCUGAGAGGACGACCAGCCACACUGGGACUGAGACACGGCCCAGACUCCUACGGGAGGCAGCAGUGGGGAAUUUUGGACAAUGGGCGCAAGCCUGAUCCAGCCAUGCCGCGUGUGGGAAGAAGGCCUUCGGGUUGUAAACCACUUUUGUCAGGGAAGAAACGGCUCUUACUAAUAUUAGGGGCUAAUGACGGUACCUGAAGAAUAAGCACCGGCUAACUACGUGCCAGCAGCCGCGGUAAUACGUAGGGUGCAAGCGUUAAUCGGAAUUACUGGGCGUAAAGCGUGCGCAGGCGGCUUUGCAAGACAGAUGUGAAAUCCCCGGGCUCAACCUGGGAACUGCAUUUGUGACUGCAUGGCUAGAGUACGGUAGAGGGGGAUGGAAUUCCGCGUGUAGCAGUGAAAUGCGUAGAUAUGCGGAGGAACACCGAUGGCGAAGGCAAUCCCCUGGACCUGUACUGACGCUCAUGCACGAAAGCGUGGGGGAGCAAACAGGAUUAGAUACCCUGGUAGUCCACGCCCUAAACGAUGUCAACUGGUUGUUGGACGGCUUGCUGUUCAGUAACGAAGCUAACGCGUGAAGUUGACCGCCUGGGGAGUACGGCCGCAAGUUGAAACUCAAAGGAAUUGACGGGACCCGCACAAGCGUGGAUGAUGUGGUUUAAUUCGAUGCAACGCGAAAACCUUACCUACCCUUGACAUGUCUAGAGUUACCAGAGAUGGGUUUCGUGCUCGAAAGAGAACUAGAACCACAAGGUGC